CGUAUACUUGUGUUUGUUGGGUGAACCACCACUCUCGAAAGAGAUGAAAAGAGGGGACGAGGAGAAGAGCGUUCUUGCAGCAUUGGAUGCUGGGAGGAAAGAGAAGUAGGCGAGUAAGGGUAGGCGAGGAGGGUGGUGGCGUCAACGGGGUGUGACUCGCAAAAGGAGGAAAUCUAUUGCCGGAAGUGAGUAUAUUCAAGCGGCAGUCUGCGGUGCGUGUAUGGAAAUUCGAGACCGCCCUACCACGAAAGGGUCCUUCCCGAAACCCAAGGGAAGCCGCACGCGACGACGAUUUGCUCGAAGAAGAAAAAAGAACGGAAAGACUGCAGAAGAAAAAGAAAAAGAAAAAGAAAAAGAAGGUAGAUAGGUUUGGAAGGGAAAGAGAAAACGAGCGCUGCUGUGCUCGGCGAUUUGUAGCGGAACGCCGUUGUGUUCCAUCCCUGAUUGUGCUUUUGCCAACGAUUGAUUUGUAGCGGAUAAACGGAAUUAGAAAUUGAGACACGAUCAUCCUGCCUUUAUUUUUUUGCUUACUACCUUUUUCUAUCUGGGGUGGUUUCUUAAAUCGGAAUUGAGAAAAUGUUCAUUGUGAUUAAUUAUCUGCAUACAUUUCAUUGUUAUAAAUGGAUUUUUCGCUGUCGUCGAAAAU
This is a long non-coding RNA of Vespa mandarinia (Asian giant hornet), 646 nucleotides long. NCBI's taxonomy places the organism in Eukaryota, Metazoa, Arthropoda, Insecta, Hymenoptera, Vespidae. The record is from RefSeq and is a predicted model, not a curated record.